UACGUAGGGUCCGAGCGUUGUCCGGAAUUAUUGGGCGUAAAGAGCUCGUAGGCGGUUUGUCACGUCUGCUGUGAAAACUGGAGGCUCAACCUCUAGCCUGCAGUGGGUACGGGCAGACUAGAGUGCGGUAGGGGAGAAUGGAAUUCCUGGUGUAGCGGUGGAAUGCGCAGAUAUCAGGAGGAACACCGAUGGCGAAGGCAGUUCUCUGGGCCGUAACUGACGCUGAGGAGCGAAAGCGUGGGGAGCGAACAGG
This 253-nucleotide ribosomal RNA is filed under the name uncultured bacterium. RNAcentral's name for it is "partial 16S ribosomal RNA". It matches the Rfam family "Bacterial small subunit ribosomal RNA", at positions 524 to 776 of the family's 1533-position model. The record is from RNAcentral.